GACAGAGGUGGCAAGCGUUAUUCGGAUUUAUUGGGCGUAAAGGGCGCGUAGGCGGCCAGGUGCGUCCGGUGUGAAAACGCUACCGCUUAACGGAGCGAAUGCGCUGGAUACGAUCUGGCUUGAGUCAGGGAGAGGUGAGCGGAAUUCCUGGUGUAACGGUGGAAUGUUUAGAUAUCAGGAAGAACACCGGUGGCGAAGGCGGCUCACUGGCCCUGUACUGACGCUGAGGCGCGAAAGCGUGGGGAGCAAACGGGAUUAGAUACCCGUGUAGUCC
This 274-nucleotide ribosomal RNA is filed under the name uncultured bacterium. RNAcentral describes it as "partial 16S ribosomal RNA". It matches the Rfam family "Bacterial small subunit ribosomal RNA", at positions 524 to 796 of the family's 1533-position model. The record is from RNAcentral.